UACGGAGGGUGCGAGCGUUGUCCGGAUUUAUUGGGUUUAAAGGGUGCGUAGGCGGCCGCGUAAGUCUGGGGUGAAAGCCCGUUGCUCAACAACGGAACUGCCCUGGAAACUGCGCGGCUUGAGUCCAGACGAGGUUGGCGGAAUGGGCGGUGUAGCGGUGAAAUGCAUAGAUACCGUCCAGAACACCGAUUGCGAAGGCAGCUGACUAGGCUGGUACUGACGCUGAGGCACGAAAGCGUGGGGAGCGAACAGG
This 253-nucleotide ribosomal RNA is filed under the name uncultured bacterium. RNAcentral's name for it is "partial 16S ribosomal RNA". It matches the Rfam family "Bacterial small subunit ribosomal RNA", at positions 524 to 776 of the family's 1533-position model. The record is from RNAcentral.